Molecule: ribosomal RNA, 397 nt
Filed under: uncultured bacterium
Lineage: Bacteria
Description: bacterial SSU rRNA
Rfam family: Bacterial small subunit ribosomal RNA
Source: RNAcentral
GACGAACGCUGACGGUGUGCUUUAGACAUGCAAGUCGAACGAGAAAGCCCUUCGGGUGAGUACAGUGGCGAACGGGUGAGUAACACGUGGGCAAUCUGCCCCUCGCAGGGGGAGUAACCGGGGGAAACCCCGGCUAAUACCCCGUACGCUUGCGGAGUCGCAUGGCUCCGCAAAGGAAAGGUAGCUUCGGCCAUCCGGCGAGGGAUGAGCCCGCGGUACAUUAGCUAGUUGGUGGGGUAACCGGCCCACCAAGGCGACGAUGCAUAGCUGGUCUGAGAGGAUGAUCAGCCACACUGGGACUGAGACACGGCCCAGACUCCUACGGGAGGCAGCAGUCGGGAAUCUUGCGCAAUGGGCGAAAGCCUGACGCAGCAACACCGUGUGAGCGACGAAGGCC